ACCAGACCUCCCGAAAAAUUCGGGACAGUCCCGAAUUAGGAGCAGUUGUCCCGACUCCUGUCCGGUUUGUCCCGAAAAUUAGACUUACCUUUAAUAUAACAGGGUGAAGGAAUAAUUGCAGCCUCUGAAGAUCAUAUUGCAGAUGUCACCUUUCUACAAAGUCUGAACUAUUUUACCAAUUAAAAAAUAUGCUUUACUGUAUGGCCAA
This is a long non-coding RNA of Micropterus salmoides (largemouth bass), 208 nucleotides long. RefSeq lists it as uncharacterized. The record is from RefSeq and is a predicted model, not a curated record. The transcript has 2 exons. NCBI's taxonomy places the organism in Eukaryota, Metazoa, Chordata, Actinopteri, Centrarchiformes, Centrarchidae.